This is a long non-coding RNA of Capsicum annuum, 850 nucleotides long. RefSeq lists it as uncharacterized. The transcript is spliced from 2 exons. Lineage: Eukaryota; Viridiplantae; Streptophyta; Magnoliopsida; Solanales; Solanaceae. The record is from RefSeq and is a predicted model, not a curated record.
CACUUUACAACACAAAAUGAGAAAGAAAAAAAAAGAGAGAGAAAAAAAAUAUUUUUUAUUUUUUCAAGAAACCCUAUUUAGGGUUAAUGAGGGGUACUUUUUUUUUUUUGUUUGUGUACAAAAUGACUCUUUUUGUACUUUUCCACAGCUUUCUUGAACUGCAUAAAUCAAAAUUUUAAUUCUUUUUUUUUUUUGGUUAAGAUGAAGAGAAUUAAUUAAAAUUUUUGGGGUUCAAUAAAGCUGUGGGAAGAUACAUAUAGAGUCAACAGCAUAUAUAUUUUUAUUCUUUUUAUUAUUCAAAAAUUAUAAUUAGCAGAUUUGAUUAUUAUUAUUAUUAUUAUUAUUACUUCAUGGUGAAUUGAUGAUCUUGUUGAAGAUGUUUCUGAAGGACUUUUCAUCGAAAAUUGAAUAUAUUUUAUGGUGAUAUAAAUAGGGUACGAUACUUUACAAUCAAUGUAAAGUUGCCUCCAUGUGAGUUUAGGUCGUGAAAACAGUCUCUUGUUAAAUGCAGGGUACGAUACGUACAGUCAAUGUAAAGUUGCGUUCAUGUGAUCAGAUCGUGAAAAUAGUCUCUUGUUAAAUGCAGGGUAUGGUACGUACAGUCAAUGUAAAGUUGCCUUCAUGUGAGUUCAGGUCGUGAAAACAGUCUCUUGUUAAAUGCAGGGUACGGUACGUACAGUAGACUCUUGUAGUCUAGCUCUUUCGUUAACCCUAAAUAUAGCGAAAAUUUUAGUGCAUUGAACUGUCCAACAUGUGGUAUUUGUUCCACUGAGGCCUAGUAUUGUACAUCAAUCCUCAAAUAGGUACAUAUUAAACUUUCAUACUAAUUUAUAUGAUCUAUAUUUUUGUA